This is a long non-coding RNA of Bos taurus (domestic cattle), 923 nucleotides long. The record is from Ensembl. NCBI's taxonomy places the organism in Eukaryota, Metazoa, Chordata, Mammalia, Artiodactyla, Bovidae.
AUAUGGCAGAGUGCCGGGAGCUGGGGAGGCUGACAGACAGCAUUUCUUUCCAGAAGCUCCCAUGUGCCAGGCCCUGAACCAGCCCUAGAUUCUCACAGCAGACAAUGCUGUCAAGGAAAAGCCCAGCCUUGUACCAAGUUAUCAAUAUCAGCCGCGACCGGGUGAGGGGAGCCAUCCGUCCUCACAGAGACAUUAGCACGUCUUGAAUCGCCCCUGGAGCCUCUAUUUGAAAGGUGCAUCCAUCUGCAUGCAGCACCGAUGACACUGGCCUUGAUGUGAACAGCAGAGAACUUCAUUUUGCUCGUUCCUGUUAAGACGUGGGCGUCACUUUGUCGCUGGGGUGGCAGCCUCCUGUUCAAAGCAACCUGCACAAGUCAGUCAAAGGGGCAGGCAGGUUCUUUACCACUAGCACCACCUGGCAAGCCCUCUCACAAAAUGAUAUACAAGUAUCCUUUCUGUGUGAUCUCACGGACUGUAACCCACCAGGCUCCUCUGUCCACCGGAUUCUCCAGGCAAGAAUACUGGAGUGGGUUGCCAUUUCCUUCUGCAGGGGAUCUUCCCGACCCAAGGAUUGAACCUGGGUCUUCCUCAUUGAAGGCAGAUUCCUUACCAUCUGAACCACCAAGGGAGCAAAACAAUCUUGUUGACUGUAAAUUAAUGUUGCACGCCAGAUCUCGAGAACUUAUUCACCUUGUUUAACUGAAACUUUACUACGCCUGUUGCUUAACAACUCCCCAUUUCUCCCUCCCCCGCAUGCCCUGAAAACCACUAUUUCACUUUGGUUUUCAGGUCCUUCUUAGAUCUAGUUGUUUGCAAGUUCAAAGUGUCUCCAAACCACCAACAUUUGACAUUUUCUCACCACUGUUAAUAUUCUUAUUUCUAUAUUAAUUUCAUUGGAAAUUCCACCUCUUCUUACAAGGACC